RNAcentral lists this ribosomal RNA (253 nucleotides) under uncultured bacterium. Its description in RNAcentral is "partial 16S ribosomal RNA". It matches the Rfam family "Bacterial small subunit ribosomal RNA", at positions 524 to 776 of the family's 1533-position model. The record is from RNAcentral.
UACGUAGGGCGCAAGCGUUGUCCGGAAUUAUUGGGCGUAAAGAGCUCGUAGGCGGCUUGUCACGUCGGAUGUGAAAGCCCGGGGCUUAACCCCGGGUCUGCACUUGAUACUGCCUCGCUAGAGUACUGGAGAGGAGACUGGAAUUUACGGUGUAGCAGUGAAAUGCGUAGAUAUCGGGAGGAACACCAGUGGCGAAGGCGACUUCCUGGCCUGUUCUUGACGCUGAGGCGCGAAAGCUAGGGGAGCAAACGGG